GUGAUCCCAGAUUCUACGAGCACAUCGAUUCGCAUGAGCAAGUCUGAUCGGACAGCCCGUGAUGAUGAGCUUCGGUCGUAACUCGUUGUACGAGAACAGCGUUAAGUGAUAACGCUGCACUUGACCGUUACCUUACCAGAAGGCCACGGCUACUUACUGUGCAGCAGCCGCGUAAUAACGAUAGUUGGCAAAGCGUUAUCGGAUUAUCUGGGCGUAAAGCGCGCGGCAGUUGGUUUCUUUAAAGUUUUGAAUGUUGAAGGCCCCACGGCUCAAACCCGUGAAGGGUCAUUCUGAAACUUGGGAGGACUUGAGAUGUCAAGAAGAGGAAAGUUGGAAUUUCCAUGGUGUAGCGGUGAAAAUGCGUAAGAUGAUAUUGAGAGGAACACCAGUUGGCGGAAGGGGACUUUUUGGUUUGUUAAUGACAAUGAGGGCGCGAAAGCGUGGGGAGCAAACAGGAUUAGAUAACCUGGUAGUUCACGCCGUAAACGAUGAGUGUAAACGUUAGGAGGGUUUCGCCCUUUUGGGGCGAAAUUAAACCCUUAAGCAAUUCGCCUGGGGGGUUCGGCCGCAAGGGUGAAAUUUAAAGGAAUUGACGGGGGCCCGGCCAAGGGGUGGAGCCUGUGGUUUAAUUUGAAGGAAACGGAAAGACCUUUCCCGGUUUUGAAAUCCUUUGACAAACCUAGGGAUUAGGGUUUUCCUUCGGGAGCAGAGUGACAGGUUGUGCCAGGGUGUUGUCAGGUUGUGUUCUGAAAAUUUGGGGUAAGUUCCGCAAAGGGGGCCACCCCUGAUUUUUGUUGCCCUCCUUUAAGUGGGCCAUUUUAGGGGGACUCCCGUGACAAACCCGAAGAAAGGGGGGGAGAAGUCCAAUUCAUCAUCCCCCUAUGACCUUGGGUACACCACGUGUUCCAAUGGCGGUUCAAAGAGGUUCCAGGCCCGGGAGGUGGGGUUAUUUCCAUAAACCCUUUUCAAUUUCGGUUUUCAGUUGCAAAUUCCCUUCCUGGAAGUGGGAUUGGUUGGUAUUGGGGAAUCAGAAGGCCCCGGUGAAUAGGUUCCCGGCCCUUGUACCCACCGCCCGUCCCACCAUGGGAGUUGGUAACCCCCGAAGUGGGUGGGUUAACCUUUGGGAGCCAGCCGUCCUAUAGGAGUGACUGAUGAUGGGGGAAAGUAAUACUCAAGAAAAAUCCC
RNAcentral lists this ribosomal RNA (1185 nucleotides) under Bacillus cereus. RNAcentral describes it as "bacterial SSU rRNA". It matches the Rfam family "Bacterial small subunit ribosomal RNA", at positions 345 to 1504 of the family's 1533-position model. Lineage: Bacteria; Bacillati; Bacillota; Bacilli; Caryophanales; Bacillaceae. The record is from RNAcentral.